GAUAGUACACAUUUUACAAAAACAAAAUUAGUGGAAAAAAACAAGCCAUAAAAAGAGGUCGCGGUAAUUUUCCGUUACCCCUUUUUUUCUGAAAAUUUUUUGGUCUUUCUUUUGACCCACGCUAUUAUUUUUCGCCCGAGCGUCAUUUCGUUGCGCAAUUUGUCUGUGUACAGUGCGGUUUUGUAUCAAUUUUGUGCGUUUUUAAAAUAUUGCUUUGUUUUUUCUAAAUGUUAUUGAUUGCUUAACAUAUUUAAAUAACCCCCUCAACAAAGGGUGCAAAAUUACGUGCUUAUCGUGAGCUGUACGAUUAUUUAAAGCUAUUUACGGACAAGCUAGCUGUGGAAAUUACUUGGCGUGUAACUGCGGAUCCAACGAUUCUCAACAUACUUCAUUGUAAAAGAAAUGGUUAUUAAUAAAUUUCUUAUGUCGACGGAGCUGGACCUAAAUAACAUUGAUCAGCAAAAUUUCCUACAUGCCAGUGACCGUGUAUACAAGCGGACAAAGCCCUUAUACACAAAAUAAAUGCAAAA
Non-coding RNA from Drosophila suzukii, 530 nucleotides. The record is from RefSeq and is a predicted model, not a curated record. NCBI's taxonomy places the organism in Eukaryota, Metazoa, Arthropoda, Insecta, Diptera, Drosophilidae.